UGCUUCCUGUCCUGAAAUAAACUCUUCAGAACUGAGCUCGGUUUGGCAAGAACUCUCCUCCGGGCCGUUUUCUGGAAGAAUCAUUGUAAACACACGUCCGCGGUUGGAGAGCUUCCCAUCUUUUCUUUCCAACUGGAGCUCUCCGCAGAGUGGUUAAGCGACAGGUCAGGGCAUGCUGGGAAACUCAAACCUCCGCUUUGAUCUGCUAAUGGAGACAAACAGGACCACAGUUGGACAGCUACCGCAGCGACACACCACCUCCACUAGUACGACCAGGUGAAUUUGGAGGUGUGAGGGUCACAGAGGAGGCAAGGGCUGCUGGGAUUGGAGUCUCCCUCUGCGAAACACAUCCCGUCGAUGUUACACGUCCGCUCCUGGCCAACAGAGACACAGUAAAACAGAAAAAAGGUUUGUUUGUAUACUCAUAUUUACAGGGUUGUUAUUAAAUGGUGACAUGUUGACACAGCAGGAAUUACAACAUUGUAAAACAUGUUUUUCCAAGAUGCUUGUUUUCCUUUUGCCUUUUUU
This is a long non-coding RNA of Lates calcarifer (barramundi perch), 528 nucleotides long. RefSeq lists it as uncharacterized. The transcript has 3 exons. NCBI's taxonomy places the organism in Eukaryota, Metazoa, Chordata, Actinopteri, Centropomidae. The record is from RefSeq and is a predicted model, not a curated record.